Molecule: long non-coding RNA, 2165 nt
Organism: Callithrix jacchus (white-tufted-ear marmoset)
Lineage: Eukaryota; Metazoa; Chordata; Mammalia; Primates; Cebidae
Source: RefSeq, a predicted model, not a curated record
UCUAUUCCUUUCCACUCAGUGUGGAAGCUGCUUUCCUCUCCUGGAUUCCAUCUUUUUGGAUUCUCUCACUCAGUGGGAGAGUUAGCUGUUUCUUUCUCUCUCCUCCUGUUUUUCUCUCUCUCCUAUUUCUCUCUCUCUCCUUCUGUUUUUCUCUCUCUCUCUAAAUAAAUCACUUUUGAGUCCGGCAUUUACUGUGCACUGUGCCAUGUUCCAUGAUCCAUUGCCCACUCUCUCAUUUUUGAGAGGGCAGGAGGCCAAGAAUCUGGAGAAACAACCUCUCACGGGAGCUGAGGGCACCCUGAACCCCAAUAUUGUACUUUGAAGAACCAGCCAGGAGAGGGGUACAUCAGCAUAGGGGUACAGCCAAAGAAGAUUUCAAAUUGUGAGUAAAACUGGCCCCAUUCUGUCCCGACUCAUUGAGAACACCUGAAGUGGCCGAAGCCAGGCAGGGCAGUGGGGAACCUGAGCAGCGGCGCCUCAGAGGCAUGACCCACCCCCUCUUAAGCGAUGCGGACCAGCCAGAAUUAAAAGCGCAGUUUUUUUACCUUCAAGCUCUCUCUCUGCUUUCCAUCUCCUUCUCUAUCCUUUAGAUAUUAUCUCUAGGACCAAAACCUGAGGGAGCCUGUGGGGCAGAGCAGGCGAGCACGGCCCCAGGGCCUUUUGCUCCUUGCUGCAGUGAACAGCCCAGCCCCAAGGGCGAAACCGAGUGCGAGUGCGCAGCCGUGGGCUGGAGGAAACAGCGGGGAGGGGCGAGGUACAACCGGAGCCUGCGAGGGACCAGGGAGCGCGGCCUGGCGUAUGGCUCUGGCAGGCCUUUCCCGCACUCCGCAGUCCCAGGCGGCAGGGUAAAAAGACUCCUCAGGACAUUUGCCUUGCCCUCCAUGGGUCCCUGUGUGGCCAGUACCUCGGGAAGUGACCCAGGCGUGCAAGUGGUUUUGGCGGGGUCAACAUGGUGACUGAAAGCCGUGGAAGCAGAGGAACUCAGGGUGGCCCAGCAGCCUCAACCACGGCUUUUAAACUGACGCGGAUGACCAGCUCGUCCUUUCUUACUUGGGACCUUUGAGGUUUCAGCAUUGAAGAUCUCAUAUCCCGAGAAAAUCAUCACAGUGGGUCUUUCCUCUCCUACAUCCUGAAUAUUAUAAAGAAGAAGAGUAAUCCAUAAAAUUAAAAGUUAAAGGACAAGGAUGUAUGCACAAUUGUUCUUUUAGGACUCAGUUCAGCCCACAGAUGUCUCCACAGCUGCUCUCUAUUCCAAAGAGGAUUUUUUUUCCUUGGAAGCAGUCAUAUUAUGAGCUGACAAUCUGGAUGAUGACAUGACUUACACAAAAUUAUCGAGUGAAUCUGAUGCUUGGUAAGAGUUAGAUGCCUAAUUUUCUGAUGAAUAGGCCAUCAGUACCACAUUCAUUGUUCAUCAUUAGUUAAACUCAUCAGAGGUUAAAAUUACCAAAGAUCUCUGAUGUUAGAAUCUUUUAAAAAUAGAGAUUUACUGCUUAUUUUUUGGCUGUGUGUGUUUUUCUCUUUGUUUGUUUUUGUGGGAUAUAGUUAAAAAACUUGUGUAGACUAUUUAAGGAAUAGUGAAACAGUUUAUUUCCUUUUGGGAAUUAGUGUAGCAGUGAAGAUCUUUACAAUUAAAAAUCACAGGUAAAGUUAUUUUUUAAAUGUAAAGAAAAAUUUGUAUACCAAUAUUUUUAAGAGUGGGUAUUUUGAAUAUUUCAAUUUAAUUUGUUGGGAUAAAAGUAGACAAACAAGCCAGGCAAAUUAAACUUUAUAGAAAAAUGUUAUGCCUUAACAGUUAAAAGUAGAAUUGAAAUUUGCAAUAAAAACUAUGGGAAUAUUGAGGAUAUUGAAAUACUGGGGAUGAGUUACAAAUGUACUUUCAUUAUCAUGGAUAAUAAAUCAUAGACAUAUGUAUACAAAUGCAGAAAUUCUUGAUUUAGACUAGUCUGAUAUUAUAAAACAUGACUGUAUCUAUAUAGCUGACAGAGCAUGCAUUAAACUUACUGAUGAUUCAUUCAGAAACUAAUAUUUCUAAUAUUUAAGUUACAGAUUUGUUAGUAGACUUAGACCUUUUACAAAAAAUUUAACAUAUUCAUUAAUUUAGAUAUUAUAUAUAGUAUCAUCACAUGCUAAGCAAGCUGUUGAUAUUGCUUCUAUUUUUGUUGUUG